RNAcentral lists this ribosomal RNA (484 nucleotides) under uncultured bacterium. RNAcentral's name for it is "partial 16S ribosomal RNA". It matches the Rfam family "Bacterial small subunit ribosomal RNA", at positions 30 to 507 of the family's 1533-position model. The record is from RNAcentral.
CUUGAACGCUGGCGGCAGGCCUAACACAUGCAAGUCGAGCGGAUGAAGGGAGCUUGCUCCUGGAUUCAGCGGCGGACGGGUGAGUAAUGCCUAGGAAUCUGCCUGGUAGUGGGGGAUAACGUCCGGAAACGGGCGCUAAUACCGCAUACGUCCUGAGGGAGAAAGUGGGGGAUCUUCGGACCUCACGCUAUCAGAUGAGCCUAGGUCGGAUUAGCUAGUUGGUGGGGUAAAGGCCUACCAAGGCGACGAUCCGUAACUGGUCUGAGAGGAUGAUCAGUCACACUGGAACUGAGACACGGUCCAGACUCCUACGGGAGGCAGCAGUGGGGAAUAUUGGACAAUGGGCGAAAGCCUGAUCCAGCCAUGCCGCGUGUGUGAAGAAGGUCUUCGGAUUGUAGAGCACUUUAAGUUGGGAGGAAGGGCAGUAAGUUAAUACCUUGCUGUUUUGACGUUACCAACAGAAUAAGCACCGGCUAACUUCGUG